UACGUAGGGUGCAAGCGUUGUCCGGAAUUAUUGGGCGUAAAGAGCUCGUAGGCGGUCUGUUGCGUCGGCUGUGAAAACCCGGGGCUCAACUCCGGGCCUGCAGCCGAUACGGGCAGACUAGAGUUCGGCAGGGGAGACUGGAAUUCCUGGUGUAGCGGUGAAAUGCGCAGAUAUCAGGAGGAACACCGGUGGCGAAGGCGGAUCUCUGGGCCAUUACUGACGCUGAGGAGCGAAAGCGUGGGGAGCGAACAGG
RNAcentral lists this ribosomal RNA (253 nucleotides) under uncultured bacterium. RNAcentral's name for it is "partial 16S ribosomal RNA". It matches the Rfam family "Bacterial small subunit ribosomal RNA", at positions 524 to 776 of the family's 1533-position model. The record is from RNAcentral.